RNAcentral lists this transfer RNA (75 nucleotides) under Candidatus Riflebacteria bacterium GWC2_50_8. Its description in RNAcentral is "tRNA-Met". The stretch from base 3 to 69 matches the Rfam family "tRNA". Rfam says of the family: Transfer RNA (tRNA) molecules are approximately 80 nucleotides in length. Their secondary structure includes four short double-helical elements and three loops (D, anti-codon, and T loops). RNAcentral also lists the same sequence under 1 other name. Lineage: Bacteria; Candidatus Rifleibacteriota. The record is from RNAcentral.
CCCUGGAUAGCUCAGCGGUAGAGCAAUGGCCUCAUAAGCCAUGAGUGGCAGGUUCGAACCCUGCUCCAGCCUCAA